RNAcentral lists this long non-coding RNA (3018 nucleotides) under Salmo salar (Atlantic salmon). RNAcentral describes it as "lncRNA (ENSSSAG00000084954.1)". The record is from RNAcentral. Lineage: Eukaryota; Metazoa; Chordata; Actinopteri; Salmoniformes; Salmonidae.
AAUAAGUGAGGGAACUGCAGUGUGGAAAUGAGUCUGACUGUUUCAAUCAGUAGUGUGGAUGAUCAGUGUUAUAACAUGAUUUAAAUGUAAAGGCAAUUUCAAUUGUUCUACAAUGCAGAUCUUCGGCGCUACGGAUUGAAUCCAGACGCUAAGGUUGUAUUGAUAGGCAGCCUACCUGGGGAAGCUGUCUUUGAGCCUCUUAGGCUGUGUUUACACAGCCAGCUCAAUUCUGAUAUUUUUUUCUGCACUUUUGCCAAUAAUUGGGCGAAAGAUCAGAAUUGGGCUGCGUAUGUAAACGCAGCCAGAGAGAGACAAAGAGAGAGGAUGUGAUGUGAUUGAACGAGGGUCAGUGGAGGAAAAAGCACCCAAUUUUCCUACUUGAGUGAAAGUGAAGAAUCCUUAAAUACGUCCACCGAGACACACACCACACACACACCUGUCUGUCCGAUCCUAUACUUCUCAGUUCAGCACCAUUAAUUAAAACAGAUAUUAGCUGUCAACAUGUAGGUCUGAAAGGCUCAUCGCUGGGUAAAUCAGACAGGGAGAGAGAGAGAGAGAGAGAUGGAAAGUGAAUGUAAUGAGCCUUACAAGAUGCAGUGCUGUAAAGGCUAUGCAUUAUAGAAGCCUCCAUCACCUCUGUCUGUCUGUAUUUCUGCAGCUUAACCACCCAGCUACAGUACCUCAGAUCUACAAGAUGUAAUUUAGCACCUUGGUCACAUUUUAUUAUGAAGAAAAACUAGCCUGUCAGCCAUGCAUUCAUUGGCAAAAGCAGCGCCUGUUGUUUGCUAUUGUUUUCAAUAAUUUGUACAAAUUGAGCAUGAUGCUAUUUUGAUUGCGGGACAAUGGGGUAUUCUUUGAGCCAACAAUGAAAUACGUUUUCAAAGGCAGUCACACAUCUCUGCCAGUUCUGGCCACCUGGGACAUUUUGUGGAGAGACUUUUUUGAAGCAAAUCAGAAAGAAAUAUAUAAUAGAUAUACACUGAGUGUACGAAACAUUAAGAACACCUGCUCUUUCCAUGUCAUAGACUGACCAGGUGAAUCCAGGUGAAAGCUAUGACCCCUUAUUGAUGUCACUUGUUAAAUCCACUUCAAUCAGUGUAGAUGAAGGGGAGGAGACAAGUUAAACAAUUAUUUUUAAUGCUUGAGACAGUUGAGACAUGGAUCGUGUAUGUGACAAGACAAAAUAAUUAAGUGCCUUUGAAUGGGGUAUGGUAGAAUGUGCCAGGCACACCGUUUUGUGUCAAGAACUGCAACGCUGCUGGGUUUUCCAUGCUCAAUAGUUUCCUGUGUGUAUCAAGAAUGGUCCACUUCCCAAAUGACAUCCAGCCAACUUGACACAACUGUGGGAAGCAUUGGAGUCAACAUGGGCAAGCAUCCCUGUGGAACGCUUUCAAAACCUUGCAGAGUCCAUUCCCCGACAAAUUGAGGCUGUUCUAAGGGUGCAACUCAAUAUUAGGAAAGUGUUCCCUUAUGUUUGGUAUACUCAGUAUACACAACCCAGCUAGCACAUUUGGUUCCUUGGAAGUUGUGGGAACAUACGUUUUUGGUUACAGGGAGGUUCUGAGAUCGUUUUACAAUUGUUCCCUGAACAUUUUUCUGUAAGGUUUUAUUAGCUUUCUGAGAAUGGGAAUUAUAGGUUAUUUAGAUUUGUUUUAAUAACUUCCUUAACUUUCACUGAAUGUUUCAAUAAGACUUUUAAAAACACUACUAGCUUAGUUUGUGUUAACUGUUUUGAACUCCAAGCACAGAUAGGACACAUGGAAAAUGUAUUUGCUUAGGCAUUAAUCAUGAAAACACAUUUCUGUGAUCUUCUGCUUUUUAUCUAUGGAAUUAGUCCACUGCGCCAUCAGGAUGGAGCUAGCGCCACCAGGAUGGAGUUAGAAUGCCAUGUUUUUUUAACAUACAAAGCUGUUAAUUUUAGUCUAUUAAAACAGACCCCAUUUCAAAGGAAAAAAGCACUCAUUAAGAUCAGGUGUGGUCAAUUAGUAGGCACGGCAAACACACCUGAAUACACUUAACAAGAUAAGAGGCUAGAAAGAGGUUUGUUGACGCUGAGAAUGGAAUGUAUGUUUUUCAAUAACAUUCUUAGAACGUUCUUUGAACGUUACACAUUUUUUGUGUGUUUUUUUAUGGAAAGUUUUCUUAAUGUUCUGAGAACAUGACUUUACAGUUUUUCCCAAUUGUUUACACACUAAAAUUGGAACUUGAAACGCAAUCACCGAAACCUGAAACUCAUGUAUCAAAUCCUUAAACCAAGUCUGCAAAAUUGCAAGCACAAUUCUUACUUUACAUUCAGUUUCAAUUCUAUAUCACACUUUUUGCAAAACACUACACAGAGUUCUCUACAUUAGGCACAACAUUCAAACUUAAAAUCUCUUUAGUCCCUUUGGAAAGCAACGCCAAUCACAAUGACACGCGCUGUACACCAAUUGGCAACACCCACUCCUCACAGGUGUAAACAUUAGUUGCUGAGUUGUUCACUUAGAAAUCAGAGCUUUAGCACUAUAAAAGGCCAUGAGCGCCUCCUGUUUUGGAGGAAAAUGGAAGUCAAUGGUGAAGCAAGAGCUAGAGGUGAAGGAGGAUGAGGACGGACAGUUGUCUCAGAUGAGAUUAGGGUCACAUUGGUUGACCAUGUGCUCAACCAUAUAUUGAGUAUGAGGGAGGCAGGGCAGAGAGUUCAGCCCAAACUGAGCCGCUACACGGUUGCAUCUAUCAUCCGUACAUUCAGAAAUGAAAACCUAGUCUUGGAGCUGGAUGCUGCUGCAAUUCAGCACGUUUAUAUUUACAUUGAGGCUGACUUCAACCUAGCCAAAAGAAGGGUAUGGGGACGGAGCAUUAUUGGCCAGCGUGCCUUUGUGAAUGUCCCUGGACAGCGUGGCGGGAAUAUCACCAUGUGCGCAGCAGUUAGCCAGCAAGGCAUCCUCCAUCACCAUGCCAACCUUGGUCCCUACAACACCGCCCUUCUCAUCACGUUCCUGGACACGUUACAUGGCAUCCUCAUUCCAGCCGAGCAGAGGG